CGGCGGACGGGUGAGUAACGCGUGGGUAACCUGCCUCAUACAGGGGGAUAACAGUUGGAAACGGCUGCUAAUACCGCAUAAGCGCACAGUACCGCAUGGUACGGUGUGAAAAACUCCGGUGGUAUAAGAUGGACCCGCGUUGGAUUAGCUAGUUGGUGAGGUAACGGCCCACCAAGGCGACGAUCCAUAGCCGACCUGAGAGGGUGACCGGCCACAUUGGGACUGAGACACGGCCCAG
RNAcentral lists this ribosomal RNA (238 nucleotides) under uncultured bacterium. RNAcentral describes it as "partial 16S ribosomal RNA". It matches the Rfam family "Bacterial small subunit ribosomal RNA", at positions 96 to 334 of the family's 1533-position model. The record is from RNAcentral.